AAAAGCUCGUAGUUGGAUCUCAGCUAGGCACGGACGGUCCGCCUACCGGUGGUUACUGUUCGCAGCCAGCGUUCAGUCAGUUUCUCCUGAUGAUCUUUACCGGUUGUCUAGAGUGACUGACAAGUUUACUUUGAAAAAAUUAGAGUGCUCAAAGCAGGCGCGACGCCUGAAUAAUUGUGCAUGGAAUAAUGGAAUAGGACCUCGGUUCUAUUUUGUUGGUUUUCGGAACACGAGGUAAUGAUUAAGAGGGACAGACGGGGGCAUUCGUAUUGCGACGCUAGAGGUGAAAUUCUUGGACCGUCGCAAGACGAACUACUGCGAAAGCAUUUGCCAAGAAUGUUUCCAUUAAUCAAGAACGAAAGUUAGAGGCUCGAAGGCGAUCAGAUACCGCCCUAGUUCUAACCAUAAACGAUGCCAGCCAGCGAUCCGGCUGUGUUCCUCAAAUGACACGCCGGGCAGCUUCCGGGAAACCAAAGCUUUUGGGUUCCGGGGGAAGUAUGGUUGCAAAGCUGAAACUUAAAGGAAUUGACGGAAGGGCACCACCAGAAAUGGAGCCUGCGGCUUAAUUUGACUCAACACGCGAAAGCCUACCCGGUCCGGACACAGGAAGGAUUGACAGAUUAAGAGCUCUUUCUUGAUUCUGUGGGUGGUGGUGCAUGGUCGUUCUUAGUUGGUGGGGCGACUUGUCUGGUUAAUUCCGAUAACGAACGAGACUCUAGCCUACUAAAUAGACGUUCCGAUCCUCUUUCGUCGGACGUUCUUCUUAGAGGGACAAGCGGCGUUUAGCCGCACGAGACAGAGCAAUAACAGGUCUGGGAUGCCCUUAGAUGUCCGGGGCCGCACGCGCGCUACAUUGAAGGAAUCAGCGUGUUUUUUCCCUGUCCGAAAGGACUGGGUAACCCGUUGAACCUCCUUCGUGCUGGGGAUAGGAGAAUGUAAUUGCCUCCUUGAACGAGGAAUUCCCAGUAAGCACGAGUCAUUAGCUCGUGUUGAUUACGUCCCUGCCCUUUGUGCACACCGCCCGUCGCUACUACCGAUUGAAUGAUUUAGUGAGGUCUUCGGACUGGCGCUCGGAUUGGCCUUGGUCGAGCCGAAGUGCCGGAAAGAUGACCAAACUUGAUCAUUUAGAGGAAGUAAAAGUCGUAACAAGGUUUU
Molecule: ribosomal RNA, 1155 nt
Filed under: Araneus necopinus
Lineage: Eukaryota; Metazoa; Arthropoda; Arachnida; Araneae; Araneidae
Description: SSU rRNA
Rfam family: Eukaryotic small subunit ribosomal RNA
Source: RNAcentral